RNAcentral lists this long non-coding RNA (268 nucleotides) under Elaeis guineensis (African oil palm). RNAcentral's name for it is "long non-coding RNA (EGUI_LNC029868)". Lineage: Eukaryota; Viridiplantae; Streptophyta; Magnoliopsida; Arecales; Arecaceae. The record is from RNAcentral.
AAAUGUAUCAGAAAUAGGUUAAACAGGUUUUAAACAGGUUAAACGGAUCUUAAAUGGAUUGAAUAGGUUAAACAAGUCGGAUUAAAUAGAUCAGAAAUAGGUUAAACAGGUUAAAUAUGUUAUCUGACUUAACCCAAUCUGAAUAUUAAAUGGGUUAAACGGAUCAGAUAUCUAAAAUCCAAAUCUAAUCAACUUAUUAAACGGAUUAAAUGGGUUGAUUCGUUUAUGACCCAAACUCGUUUAGUCUAAAUCCAAAUCUGUUUAUGGC